Long non-coding RNA from Camponotus floridanus (Florida carpenter ant), 521 nucleotides. RefSeq lists it as uncharacterized. The transcript is spliced from 3 exons. Lineage: Eukaryota; Metazoa; Arthropoda; Insecta; Hymenoptera; Formicidae. The record is from RefSeq and is a predicted model, not a curated record.
GGAUUCCAGCUUCUUGCGACGAAUAACGAACAUGGUCUGGACUCGAAUUCAUUUUGAAUCUGCCCAAUGAUACCGGUAAUAGUUUUCUGAGAAGAUGCUCGACGCUUGAUGCUGCCAUCUUCAGAUCAUCUGCUACUGUGGUCAUGUGACUUCAAAUGGCAACCAAUAGCAACUCACAGAAGAGAGAAAGCUGCAGCAAGUGGUUUUCAUUAUUACAACUACAACAUUUCAACAAAGUAUUAAUCGAAAGAGUGACUAGGCGAUGGAAACUUAUAGCCCCAUCUUGAUACUGAUUAUUUACAAAAAAAGAGACGGAGAGAAAGAACAAAAACGGCAUGUGCUGUACAAUUUCACUGUACAAUCAGGUGCGUUAAUGAUAUUGAAUAUAUCCGCAUUUACAACAUCAUACACUUUAUGACACGCGACUUAAAUGUAUUAAUGAAGAAAUUUAAUAUUAAAAUUGUUUUUUUAUGUUAAUACUAAUAUUUUAUCAAUUUUAUAUCCAUAUAAAUCUUACAUUU